UGGGGGAUAUUGCACAAUGGGCGAAAGCCUGAUGCAGCGACGCCGCGUGGGGGAUGAAGGCUUUCGGGUUGUAAACCUCUUUCGCUAUCGAACAAGGCCCGCUUAGGGUGGGUUGAGGGUAGGUGGAGAAGAAGCGCCGGCUAACUACGUGCCAGCAGCCGCGGUAAUACGUAGGGCGCGAGCGUUGUCCGGAAUUAUUGGGCGUAAAGGGCUUGUAGGCGGCUUGUUGCGCCUGCUGUGAAAACGCGGGGCUUAACUUCGCGCGUGCAGUGGGUACGGGCAGGCUUGAGUGUGGUAGGGGUGACUGGAAUUCCAGGUGUAGCGGUCGAAUGCGCAGAUAUCUGGAGGAACACCGAUGGCGAAGGCAGGUCACUGGGCCAUUACUGACGCUGAGGAGCGAAAGCAUGGGUAGCGAACAGG
RNAcentral lists this ribosomal RNA (420 nucleotides) under bacterium. RNAcentral describes it as "partial 16S ribosomal RNA". It matches the Rfam family "Bacterial small subunit ribosomal RNA", at positions 355 to 776 of the family's 1533-position model. The record is from RNAcentral.